AUGAACGCUGGCGGCGUGCCUAAUACAUGCAAGUCGAGCGAACGGACGAGAAGCUUGCUUUUCUGAUGUUAGCGGCGGACGGGUGAGUAACACGUGGAUAACCUACCUAUAAGACUGGGAUAACUUCGGGAAACCGGAGCUAAUACCGGAUAAUAUUUUGAACCGCAUGGUUCAAAAGUGAAAGACGGUCUUGCUGUCACUUAUAGAUGGAUCCGCGCUGCACUAGCUAGUUGGUAAGGUAACGGCUUACCAAGGCAACGAUGCAUAGCCGACCUGAGAGGGUGAUCGGCCACACUGGAACUGAGACACGGUCCAGACUCCUACGGGAGGCAGCAGUAGGGAAUCUUCCGCAAUGGGCGAAAGCCUGACGGAGCAACGCCGCGUGAGUGAUGAAGGUCUUCGGAUCGUAAAACUCUGUUAUUAGGGAAGAACAUAUGUGUAAGUAACUGUGCACAUCUUGACGGUACCUAAUCAGAAAGCCACGGCUAACUACGUG
This 496-nucleotide ribosomal RNA is filed under the name uncultured bacterium. RNAcentral describes it as "partial 16S ribosomal RNA". It matches the Rfam family "Bacterial small subunit ribosomal RNA", at positions 29 to 507 of the family's 1533-position model. The record is from RNAcentral.